UACGGGAGGCAGCAGUGGGGAAUAUUGCACAAUGGGCGAAAGCCUGAUGCAGCUAUGCCGCGUGUAUGAAGAAGGCCUUAGGGUUGUAAAGUACUUUCAUCGGGGAGGAAAAACAAAACUAAUAAUUUUAUUUCUUGACGUUACCCGAAAAAGAAGCACCGGCUAACUCCGUGCCAGCAGCCGCGGUAAUACGGAGGGUGCUAGCGUUAAUCAGAAUUACUGGGCGUAAAGAGCACGUAGGUGGUUUUUUUAAGUCAGAUGUGAAAUCCCUGGGCUUAACCUAGGAACUGCAUUUUGAAACUGAAAUACUAGAGUAUCGUAGAGGGAGGUAGAAUUCUAGGUGUAGCGGUGAAAUGCGUAGAUAUCUGGAGGAAUACCUGUGGCGAAAGCGGCCUCCUAAACGAAUACUGACACUGAGGUGCGAAAGCGUGGGGAGCAAACAGGGAUUAGAU
Molecule: ribosomal RNA, 452 nt
Filed under: uncultured bacterium
Lineage: Bacteria
Description: bacterial SSU rRNA
Rfam family: Bacterial small subunit ribosomal RNA
Source: RNAcentral